Molecule: ribosomal RNA, 269 nt
Filed under: uncultured archaeon
Lineage: Archaea
Description: partial 16S ribosomal RNA
Rfam family: Archaeal small subunit ribosomal RNA
Source: RNAcentral
AGCCCCCCGAGUGGUGGGGAUGUUUAUUUGGCCUAAAGCGUCCGUAGCCGGCCCGGUAAAUCUCUCGUUAAAUCCAGCGUCCUAAGCGUUGGGCUGCGAGGGAAACUGCCAGGCUAGAGGGUGGGAGAGGUCAGCGGUAUUUCUGGGGUAGGGGCGAAAUCCAUUGAUCCCAGGAGGACCACCAGUGGCGAAGGCUGCUGACUAGAACACGCCUGACGGUCAGGGACGAAAGCUGGGGUAGCGAAUCGGAUUAGAUACCCGAGUAGUCC